This is a long non-coding RNA of Ictalurus punctatus (channel catfish), 748 nucleotides long. RefSeq lists it as uncharacterized. The record is from RefSeq and is a predicted model, not a curated record. The transcript is spliced from 3 exons. Lineage: Eukaryota; Metazoa; Chordata; Actinopteri; Siluriformes; Ictaluridae.
UCAGUUCUCGAAGUUGAUGUGUUGCAAGCAGGAAAGCAUAAGGAUCUGAGUGAUUUUGACAAGGGCCAAAUUGUCAUGGCUAGAUGAGUGGGUCAGAGCAUCUCCAAAAUGGGAGGUCCUGUGGGGUGUUCCCAGUAUGCAGUGGUUAGUACCUACCAAAAGUGGUCCAAGGAAGGACAACCAGGUCAAGAUUGUCCAAGGCUCACUGAUGCAUGUGGAGCGCGAAUGCAAGCCCGUCUGGUCCGAUCCCAAAGAAGAGCAAGGCACCAGGAUGCACUAUAGCAGUGGUUUUCAAAGUGGGGGCUGCCAGGGGGCACCCGGGAAGCCUCAACAAUUUGUUCUUCCAUCUACUACUCAACUGAAGGCGUGGUCUGGAAAGCUCUUUACUGCUUCAGUGGAUGAGACUGAAAUGAUAAGUGACCUAACCAAACCAAAGCCUUGACUUCACAGCAUGUAGACCAUUGAAAAUGAAGAGCAAACUGAGUCUCCUCAAGUUCUCUCACAUCAUUCCAUUGCUGGAUUCCCUCCACCUGCUCCAUGUAGCUGCAUGUACCAGAUUAAAAAACAAACAGACACGUUUGCUUACAGAGUCAAAUAUGGACCAGGACCAGGCUACCUUAAAGCACUCUGCACCAUGUUCCCUUCGAGCUGCUAGCUCAGCUUGACUGGACCCACCAUCUCCUAAGAUGAUAAGACUUGCAAUAGCAUUUUCUGUCCUGAACACCUACCUUUUUACCAACCUCUUAAA